Molecule: ribosomal RNA, 1412 nt
Filed under: Staphylococcus hominis
Lineage: Bacteria; Bacillati; Bacillota; Bacilli; Caryophanales; Staphylococcaceae
Description: bacterial SSU rRNA
Rfam family: Bacterial small subunit ribosomal RNA
Source: RNAcentral
AGUCGAGCGAACAGAUAAGGAGCUUGCUCCUUUGACGUUAGCGGCGGACGGGUGAGUAACACGUGGGUAACCUACCUAUAAGACUGGGAUAACUUCGGGAAACCGGAGCUAAUACCGGAUAAUAUUUCGAACCGCAUGGUUCGAUAGUGAAAGAUGGUUUUGCUAUCACUUAUAGAUGGACCCGCGCCGUAUUAGCUAGUUGGUAAGGUAACGGCUUACCAAGGCGACGAUACGUAGCCGACCUGAGAGGGUGAUCGGCCACACUGGAACUGAGACACGGUCCAGACUCCUACGGGAGGCAGCAGUAGGGAAUCUUCCGCAAUGGGCGAAAGCCUGACGGAGCAACGCCGCGUGAGUGAUGAAGGUCUUCGGAUCGUAAAACUCUGUUAUUAGGGAAGAACAUACGUGUAAGUAACUGUGCACGUCUUGACGGUACCUAAUCAGAAAGCCACGGCUAACUACGUGCCAGCAGCCGCGGUAAUACGUAGGUGGCAAGCGUUAUCCGGAAUUAUUGGGCGUAAAGCGCGCGUAGGCGGUUUUUUAAGUCUGAUGUGAAAGCCCACGGCUCAACCGUGGAGGGUCAUUGGAAACUGGAAAACUUGAGUGCAGAAGAGGAAAGUGGAAUUCCAUGUGUAGCGGUGAAAUGCGCAGAGAUAUGGAGGAACACCAGUGGCGAAGGCGACUUUCUGGUCUGUAACUGACGCUGAUGUGCGAAAGCGUGGGGAUCAAACAGGAUUAGAUACCCUGGUAGUCCACGCCGUAAACGAUGAGUGCUAAGUGUUAGGGGGUUUCCGCCCCUUAGUGCUGCAGCUAACGCAUUAAGCACUCCGCCUGGGGAGUACGACCGCAAGGUUGAAACUCAAAGGAAUUGACGGGGACCCGCACAAGCGGUGGAGCAUGUGGUUUAAUUCGAAGCAACGCGAAGAACCUUACCAAAUCUUGACAUCCUUUGACAACUCUAGAGAUAGAGCUUUCCCCUUCGGGGGACAAAGUGACAGGUGGUGCAUGGUUGUCGUCAGCUCGUGUCGUGAGAUGUUGGGUUAAGUCCCGCAACGAGCGCAACCCUUAAGCUUAGUUGCCAUCAUUAAGUUGGGCACUCUAAGUUGACUGCCGGUGACAAACCGGAGGAAGGUGGGGAUGACGUCAAAUCAUCAUGCCCCUUAUGAUUUGGGCUACACACGUGCUACAAUGGACAAUACAAAGGGCAGCGAAACCGCGAGGUCAAGCAAAUCCCAUAAAGUUGUUCUCAGUUCGGAUUGUAGUCUGCAACUCGACUACAUGAAGCUGGAAUCGCUAGUAAUCGUAGAUCAGCAUGCUACGGUGAAUACGUUCCCGGGUCUUGUACACACCGCCCGUCACACCACGAGAGUUUGUAACACCCGAAGCCGGUGGAGUAACCAUUGGAGCUAGCC